UUCUAUGGCCAUGCCAUCCUGAACGAGCCCAAUGUCUGAUCUCAGAAGCUAAGCAGGCUCAGGCCUGGUUAGUACUUGGAUGGGAGACCACCUAGGAAGACCAGGUGCUGUAGGCA
RNAcentral lists this ribosomal RNA (116 nucleotides) under Pteropus alecto (black flying fox). Lineage: Eukaryota; Metazoa; Chordata; Mammalia; Chiroptera; Pteropodidae. The record is from RNAcentral.